UGAUAUUCAGUCCGCGGUCCCUGAUUCAUCUUAUCCAAAACUCCUCCCUUUCCAGCGACGGCAGCGAUGGCGGAGCACGAGCAGGUGAGGGCGGCGCCUUCGUCGGACGGCUAGCCGCGGCGGAGGAGAAGGCGGACGCCAUGGGUGCGGCUACAGACGAGGCGGAGGAGAAGGCGGACGCCGUGGGCUUGCUGCACGGCUACAGCCGAGGCGGAGGAGAAGGCGGACGCCGUGGGCGUUCAUGGAGGAUGGUACGCCGGCCGCGUCAAGUCCCCUGCCCCCGGCCGCCGGCGCCUGUUCUCGGCCUCCAUCGCCCGGAGGCGUGCCCCUACUGUCGACCUUUGCGUCUGCUUCGUCUGCAUCACGCCAACGCCGCCCUCGUCGUCGCGGCGUUCUUCUGCUUCCGGCGUCGCCCCGUCGCCCAUGCGCCGAGUUCUGCUGCGGCCUCUGUUCUUCCGCAACGAGUAGCAGCAGGUCGUCUGCGGUUGCGGCAGCGGUGUAGGCGAGCGAGGCAGAGGAGCGGUCAACACCGGCGUCGAGGGCAAGGUAGGGCGGGCGCAGUGUCCUCCGGCGUGUGGUGGCGCAUUUGUACGGCGCAGGAGGCUGGGCGCGUCGAUUCGGGUGAGGGGAGUGGGGUCCAGAUCUGGUCGAGGACGGGGCAACCGGCGGCGGCGGCGUGGCUGACGCUAGACGGAGAGAGAGGCAGAGCAAGGCACACCGAAUCGCUGGAUGGCGCACCUCCCCUAGCCUCCUUCCUCUCCCGGUCGUUGGGGAAGCAGGACGGCCACCUCUGCUGGACGCCCUUCCCUGGUCGACGACGAGCGAUGCGAGCUGACACGGUGGCGCCCUUCCGUUGUGGAGUACCGUACUAGGACGACGGCGGUUAAGGUCAACGCCCUGCUCGACGCCCCCAUCUGCUGCUCGAUGCGCCCAUCCCCUCGCUGGUUGAGCUCAACGCCACCUUGCUCUGCCUCCGGCAGUCAUUUCAUCCAAUCUGGCUGGUCCGCUCCCCACCUCGGCGGCUCCUUCAGUCCGGCAGCACACCACGCUCAAGCCUCCACCACCCCAACUCCUCAAGUUACAGUAGACAAGGAGCUCCGCUCUACCUCUCAUCUCUCUCCCUGUCCUGGUGGUCACGGGCUGAUGUUGCUGCUCCUCUCCUUCAGGAUCUAUCUCUUUCUCUUUGUCUCUCACCCUCUCAUGGAUUGACAACUGCAUUCUUCCCAAAUUAAUGUGUGCCUCUGUUCUUGAUAUUACGCCCACACCAUGUUUGAUGUUAUGCUUAUGAGGAGUUGAACUUCAUUUUUUUUCAGGCUUUUCUUUGGUGUAUCAGGCAUUCAGGCUGGUGUAAUUUGUUUUCAGAAGUGAACAUGUUGUACAGUCUAAUGUAUCUACAAAAAUUAAGUUAUGCAGAACUACAGAACUAUUAGCAGCUUUUAAUUAUGUGUACUUAAAAUGGAUUUGGUGUCCAGGACAUGUGGAGUUGAGAUCAGGUUGAAUUAUGUGCUGAUGUUCUUCGAUAGUAUAAUUGUUCUUCUCCUUUAACAUGAUGCACCAUUGACUUAUUUUUUUAGAUGCUCAAAUACGCAGAGUAAUGACAUCCUGUAUGCGCUUGGACACCCAGCAGAUUGAAAAUAUAGAAGCAAAGAUAUCCAAUACGAGGCCACGAUGCCCGACAGAGAUGCAGCCAAUACGCGCCCAAUCUUUAUUUCUUGAUAUUCCUGAAACACUGUCCAGAAUUCCACUGCUACAGAAUUGAAAUUCGAUAGCACAUGGUAAACCAGCUUUGAUUCAGCAGGGUUAUCAGCUUAGAUUCGACUAUUUUUAGUUCCUACAAGAGCAAAUGAUACGCUUAUGUCAGUAGUUUUUAGAUAUAUUCACUGGCUUCAGAUUCUGCUGAUGGAUUUUUAUGCUCUGUUCUGCUUCUAGAGCUUGUGAAUGAUGUUCAUUGUUGUUUGAAAGAUGCACUUUUUUUAUGCCUAUAUGUAAACGAUGCAAUUACUGGCUGAGAGAUACACUUAUUGGUGCUGUUCUGAAAUGAUGUUCAUUACUGUUCUACAGAUGCAGUAGACUGAUGUUUAUUGUUGUUUUGUUAUUGUACAGAACGAGGACGGAUCCAAGGUUGAGUACUGGGUGUGGAACCCCUUCAGAUCCAAGUUGGCUGCUGUUGUACUCUGUGGUGUGGACAACAUCUGGAUUGUCCGAGGAAUUACAGCUUGGGGACUUGGGAGACGAUCGUAAAAGCGGUGUGCUACAGUGUAAUGCACUAGCAAUAUGUGAAGAUUAUUUUAAGGAGGGGGUUAAUAAACAAUCAGAAAAUUCUUUUGCCCCCUCAGAAAACUAUGUUCCGUGUUUGGCCCCUCUGGGCAUUGAUGUGAAGCUAUACAGUCGUGUAAUAUGACCAAACUCAUCACCUCGGGGUUGAUCACAUUCGUCGUGAAUAGGUGGAUAACAUGACCAUCAUCGACAAUGGUGGCAAGCAAGAGAAGUGGAAUCAUAGACUAGGACGAGCGAGGAUUUGUUUAACCCGUUGCAACGCACGGGCCCUUUUGCUAGUAAUAAUAAAGAAAAUUGGGUUUCCGUCGUCCGUCGUCGCUA
Triticum dicoccoides is the source of this 2598-nucleotide RNA transcript. It is a transcript of the gene named putative rRNA 2'-O-methyltransferase fibrillarin 3, with no coding region annotated. NCBI's taxonomy places the organism in Eukaryota, Viridiplantae, Streptophyta, Magnoliopsida, Poales, Poaceae. The transcript is spliced from 5 exons. The record is from RefSeq and is a predicted model, not a curated record.